AGUGGCGAACGGGUGAGUAACACGUGAGCAACCUGCCCUGGACUCUGGGAUAAGCGCUGGAAACGGCGUCUAAUACUGGAUAUGAGACGUGAUCGCAUGGUCGUGUUUGGAAAGAUUUUUCGGUCUGGGAUGGGCUCGCGGCCUAUCAGCUUGUUGGUGAGGUAAUGGCUCACCAAGGCGUCGACGGGUAGCCGGCCUGAGAGGGUGACCGGCCACACUGGGACUGAGACACGGCCCAGACUCCUACGGGAGGCAGCAGUGGGGAAUAUUGCACAAUGGGCGGAAGCCUGAUGCAGCAACGCCGCGUGAGGGAUGACGGCCUUCGGGUUGUAAACCUCUUUUAGCAGGGAAGAAGCGAAAGUGACGGUACCUGCAGAAAAAGCGCCGGCUAACUACGUGCCAGCAGCCGCGGUAAUACGUAGGGCGCAAGCGUUAUCCGGAAUUAUUGGGCGUAAAGAGCUCGUAGGCGGUUUGUCGCGUCUGCUGUGAAAUCCCGAGGCUCAACCUCGGGCCUGCAGUGGGUACGGGCAGACUAGAGUGCGGUAGGGGAGAUUGGAAUUCCUGGUGUAGCGGUGGAAUGCGCAGAUAUCAGGAGGAACACCGAUGGCGAAGGCAGAUCUCUGGGCCGUAACUGACGCUGAGGAGCGAAAGGGUGGGGAGCAAACAGGCU
RNAcentral lists this ribosomal RNA (670 nucleotides) under Microbacterium testaceum. Its description in RNAcentral is "bacterial SSU rRNA". It matches the Rfam family "Bacterial small subunit ribosomal RNA", at positions 94 to 778 of the family's 1533-position model. Lineage: Bacteria; Bacillati; Actinomycetota; Actinomycetes; Micrococcales; Microbacteriaceae. The record is from RNAcentral.